AAAUUGAAGAGUUUGAUCAUGGCUCAGAUUGAACGCUGGCGGCAGGCCUAACACAUGCAAGUCGAACGGUAACAGGAAGCAGCUUGCUGCUUUGCUGACGAGUGGCGGACGGGUGAGUAAUGUCUGGGAAACUGCCUGAUGGAGGGGAUAACUACUGGAAACGGUGGCUAAUACCGCAUAACGUCGCAAG
This 190-nucleotide ribosomal RNA is filed under the name Salmonella enterica subsp. enterica serovar Kentucky str. 29439. RNAcentral describes it as "partial 16S ribosomal RNA". It matches the Rfam family "Bacterial small subunit ribosomal RNA", at positions 1 to 185 of the family's 1533-position model. The record is from RNAcentral. Lineage: Bacteria; Pseudomonadati; Pseudomonadota; Gammaproteobacteria; Enterobacterales; Enterobacteriaceae.